RNAcentral lists this ribosomal RNA (331 nucleotides) under uncultured bacterium. Its description in RNAcentral is "bacterial SSU rRNA". It matches the Rfam family "Bacterial small subunit ribosomal RNA", at positions 8 to 334 of the family's 1533-position model. The record is from RNAcentral.
AGAGUUUGAUUAUGGCUCAGGACGAACGCUGGCGGCGCGCCUAACACAUGCAAGUCGAACGAGCGAGAGAGAGCUUGCUUUCUCAAGCGAGUGGCGAACGGGUGAGUAACGCGUGAGGAACCUGCCUCAAAGAGGGGGACAACAGUUGGAAACGACUGCUAAUACCGCAUAAGCCCACGACCCGGCAUCGGGUAGAGGGAAAAGGAGCAAUCCGCUUUGAGAUGGCCUCGCGUCCGAUUAGCUAGUUGGUGAGGUAACGGCCCACCAAGGCGACGAUCGGUAGCCGGACUGAGAGGUUGAACGGCCACAUUGGGACUGAGACACGGCCCAG